Long non-coding RNA from Grus americana (Whooping crane), 819 nucleotides. RefSeq lists it as uncharacterized. The transcript is spliced from 4 exons. NCBI's taxonomy places the organism in Eukaryota, Metazoa, Chordata, Aves, Gruiformes, Gruidae. The record is from RefSeq and is a predicted model, not a curated record.
GCGGUGAUCCCAGCAAGCUGGCGACAUAGGAAACAAAUGUGAACUGAAACUCUUUAAUGCCAUUGAAUGUUGUCGAUUUCUAUGCGUAUUUUCCAGUAUUGCAGCCUUGUAAAAUCCAAGUAGUGUCCCCCCCGCCAUGCUGAAGGUGGACCUGUGCAGCCAGGAAUGCUAAAGUCUUGGGGCAAGAAGGAGAGGAGGCACGAGAGAUCCUGAUCUGUAGUUCAGUGGAUACAAUCCUGAAGUGGGAACGGGGAGAGACAAUUUUCAUCCUUGAAGUCCAAGUAAUUUCUUGGGACUUUGUUUUGGGGCUUUAUUCCUUCAAUGACUCUCCAAAGAAAAAUGCAGAAGCAGUCCAUGGGACAAAAUGCCAGGAAUGCUAUUGGCUUCCUUCUGGAGAGAUCUGUUUACACUUGAAAUGGAGCAGGCCAGGUUACUCUGGCCCUCCCAAGGCCAGGAUAAGAGCAGACUUUAAACCAGGACUGUGUCUUUGGACCCCAACAGACUACCCCUGAGAAGCUUUUAGAAGAAGCAUAUCAGAAAGGUCCCAAAUCUUGUGGGGACUCCGAGCUCCCUUCCAGGCGUGGAGGGUGAGCUACCCGGGAGCUGAAGCCAUGAGGGGCUGAGCUGGCCCUGCUUCUCUGAUGAGGGCAUGUCCCGCAGAAAUUACCAGCAGGAAGGACUGAUCGUGCCAUAAGGUACCACUCCAAACUCCCACUGAAGCUGAUGGGCUCUUUGGAUGCAAAUCUCAAGGAAAAUCCAGUUGGAAAAAAAAAAAAUUCAAUCUAUUUGGAACUAUAUAGAGGGAUUUAUGUUUCUAUG